This 481-nucleotide long non-coding RNA is filed under the name Bemisia tabaci. Its description in RNAcentral is "lncRNA ENSASIAIIG003729". Lineage: Eukaryota; Metazoa; Arthropoda; Insecta; Hemiptera; Aleyrodidae. The record is from RNAcentral.
UGCACGGAUAUAAAAGAACCUUGAGGAGAUCUCCACUUAGUGACGGUAGAUUGUCUGUUGAGCACGCGUUUGGUGAAACCGGAGGCAAGGUUGCCCCGUUCGAUCCGCUUCAUAACAGAGGAGGGUCAACGCUCACUACUGUAGUAUGCGGUGGUCCCAGUCGUUACCCUGUCUUCUUCUCCUCGCCGUCUUCUCAUUUUUCUUCGUCCUCGUAAAGGCUGAUGACGUAGUCAUUCAAAAAAGAAAGAGGCCUCACAGUAGGAGUGGAGUGCCUACUGUUCUUAUUCCGGCGUUUCGCGAGACUGCCUUCUUUCUUGAUUCGCCUGACGGUGCUCAGGCCUAGCCGGAGUGCAUUUGCGGUCCUCUCCAAAACUUUGGCAACAUCCAUCAAGGGUCCUCCAUUCUUCUUCUCCUCUUCGAAGUGUUGAAUGAGUCGGAAGACAAAUUCUCGAGUUUGCGGAUGCAGAAUCUGUCUGUUCCC